UAGCCUGGUGGUUAAGGCAAUGGAUCGCCAAUCCGGAGACGAUGGGUUCGAUUCCCGU
Molecule: non-coding RNA, 58 nt
Organism: Aedes albopictus (Asian tiger mosquito)
Lineage: Eukaryota; Metazoa; Arthropoda; Insecta; Diptera; Culicidae
Source: Rfam